Molecule: transfer RNA, 73 nt
Filed under: Ictidomys tridecemlineatus (thirteen-lined ground squirrel)
Lineage: Eukaryota; Metazoa; Chordata; Mammalia; Rodentia; Sciuridae
Also listed under: 1 other name
Description: Spermophilus tridecemlineatus (thirteen-lined ground squirrel) tRNA
Rfam family: tRNA
About the family: Transfer RNA (tRNA) molecules are approximately 80 nucleotides in length.
Source: Rfam by way of RNAcentral
GGGGAUUUAGCUCAGUUGGUAGAGUGUUUGCCUUACCUACUCAAGGCCCUGGGUUCAAUCCCCAGCAUCACCA